GGCCUCGUAGCUCAGAUGGCGAGAGCGUUGGCUUUACUAAAGCCUUCCACCUUGCUGGGGUGAGUUCGAAUCCUACCGUGGUCA
Molecule: transfer RNA, 84 nt
Filed under: Schistocephalus solidus
Lineage: Eukaryota; Metazoa; Platyhelminthes; Cestoda; Diphyllobothriidea; Diphyllobothriidae
Rfam family: tRNA
About the family: Transfer RNA (tRNA) molecules are approximately 80 nucleotides in length. Their secondary structure includes four short double-helical elements and three loops (D, anti-codon, and T loops). Further hydrogen bonds mediate the characteristic L-shaped molecular structure. tRNAs have two regions of fundamental functional importance: the anti-codon, which is responsible for specific mRNA codon recognition, and the 3' end, to which the tRNAs corresponding amino acid is attached (by aminoacyl-tRNA synthetases). tRNAs cope with the degeneracy of the genetic code in two manners: having more than one tRNA (with a specific anti-codon) for a particular amino acid; and 'wobble' base-pairing, i.e. permitting non-standard base-pairing at the 3rd anti-codon position.
Source: Rfam by way of RNAcentral